UUUCGCAAUGCCCGAAAGGGUGACGAAGCGACGCCGCGUGAGUGAGGAAGGCCUUCGGGUUGUAAAGCUCUGUCAGGAGUUAAGAAAUAUAAGUGUGCUAAUACCACAUUUAUUUGACAAAAGCUCCAAAGGAAGCCACGGCUAACUCUGUGCCAGCAGCCGCGGUAAUACAGAGGUGGCAAGCGUUGUUCGGAAUUAUUGGGCGUAAAGAGCACGUAGGUGGGUUUGUAAGUCAGAUGUGAAAGCCUUCUGUUCAACGGAAGAAUUGCAUCUGAAACUGCGAGUCUUGAGUGUAGGAGGGGAGAAUGGAACUUCUGGUGGAGCGGUGAAAUGCGUAGAUAUCAGAAGGAACGCCGGCGGCGAAAGCGAUUCUCUGGCCUAUUACUGACACUCAGUGUGCGAAAGCUAGGGGAGCAAACGGGAUUAGAUACCCCGGUAGUUCUAGCUGUAAACGAUGGGCACUAAGUAGAGGGGUUUUA
RNAcentral lists this ribosomal RNA (479 nucleotides) under uncultured anaerobic ammonium-oxidizing bacterium. Its description in RNAcentral is "bacterial SSU rRNA". It matches the Rfam family "Bacterial small subunit ribosomal RNA", at positions 364 to 833 of the family's 1533-position model. The record is from RNAcentral.